UUGGGAUCCUGUCUUAUAUGUUGGUUACUGU
Molecule: non-coding RNA, 31 nt
Filed under: Mus musculus (house mouse)
Lineage: Eukaryota; Metazoa; Chordata; Mammalia; Rodentia; Muridae
Source: RNAcentral